RNAcentral lists this transfer RNA (73 nucleotides) under Yamagishiella unicocca. RNAcentral's name for it is "tRNA-His". It matches the Rfam family "tRNA". From Rfam's summary of the family: Transfer RNA (tRNA) molecules are approximately 80 nucleotides in length. Their secondary structure includes four short double-helical elements and three loops (D, anti-codon, and T loops). The record is from RNAcentral. Lineage: Eukaryota; Viridiplantae; Chlorophyta; Chlorophyceae; Chlamydomonadales; Volvocaceae.
GGCGGGCGUAGCCAAGUGGUAAGGCAUUGGAUUGUGACUCCAAUAUUCGCGGGUUCGAACCCCGUCGUUCGCC